UUGACCUCGGAUCAGGUAGGGAUACCCGCUGAACUUAAGCAUAUCAAUAAGCGGAGGAAAAGAAACCAACAGGGAUUGCCCUAGUAACGGCGAGUGAAGCGGCAACAGCUCAAAUUUGAAAUCUGGCUCUUUUAGGGUCCGAGUUGUAAUUUGCAGAGGGCGCUUUGGCGUUGGCAGCGGUCCAAGUUCCUUGGAACAGGACGUCACAGAGGGUGAGAAUCCCGUACGUGGUCGCUGGUCUUCGCCGUGUAAAGCCCCUUCGACGAGUCGAGUUGUUUGGGAAUGCAGCUCUAAAUGGGAGGUAAAUUUCUUCUAAAGCUAAAUACUGGCCAGAGACCGAUAGCGCACAAGUAGAGUGAUCGAAAGAUGAAAAGCACUUUGGAAAGAGAGUCAAAUAGCACGUGAAAUUGUUGAAAGGGAAGCGCUUGCAGCCAGACUUGCCUGUAGUUGCUCAUCCGGGCUUUUGCCCGGUGCACUCUUCUAUAGGCAGGCCAGCAUCAGUUUGGGCGGUUGGAUAAAGGUCUCUAUCACGUACCUCUCUUCGGGGAGGCCUUAUAGGGGAGACGACAUGCAACCAGCCUGGACUGA
RNAcentral lists this ribosomal RNA (588 nucleotides) under Plenodomus lingam (blackleg of rapeseed fungus). RNAcentral's name for it is "eukaryotic LSU rRNA". It matches the Rfam family "Eukaryotic large subunit ribosomal RNA", at positions 1 to 592 of the family's 3401-position model. Lineage: Eukaryota; Fungi; Ascomycota; Dothideomycetes; Pleosporales; Leptosphaeriaceae. The record is from RNAcentral.